UUAGUCAAUGCUCGUAAGAGUGACCCUAGCUAACUGAAAUCAUAGAAUUUUUUUAAGUUCAUGAUGUCGUAAGGGAAAAUAAUGAUAAUACCUUACUAUGAGUGUCGUCCAAAUCUGGUGCCAGAAGACUCGGUAAGACCAGAGACGCAAACGUUAAUCAUCAUAAACAGGCGUAAAGGGUUUGUAGGCAGCUUUUAUAAGAUUAAAAAAAUUAAUUUAAUUGAAAGCUAGAAUCAAAAAGAGGUUAUAGUGUAUAACGCCUAGAGGAGGGCUGAUAUCCAUAGAUCCUAGGCAGAAUACUUAGGGCGAAGGCCACUCUCCACUAAUGAUUGACGCUGAGAAACGAAGGUUAGGGUAGGAAAUAGGAUUAGAUACCCCGGUACUCCUUUCUGUAAACGAUGAAUGGUAGUCAUUAGUUAAAUUAAAUAACUAGAGGCGAAGUUAACACAAUAACCAUUCCGCCUUGUGAGUACUACUGCAAA
This 482-nucleotide ribosomal RNA is filed under the name Hypsizygus tessulatus. RNAcentral's name for it is "SSU rRNA". It matches the Rfam family "Bacterial small subunit ribosomal RNA", at positions 364 to 892 of the family's 1533-position model. The record is from RNAcentral. Lineage: Eukaryota; Fungi; Basidiomycota; Agaricomycetes; Agaricales; Lyophyllaceae.